RNAcentral lists this ribosomal RNA (429 nucleotides) under Pycnoscelus surinamensis (Surinam cockroach). Its description in RNAcentral is "partial 12S ribosomal RNA". The record is from RNAcentral. Lineage: Eukaryota; Metazoa; Arthropoda; Insecta; Blattodea; Blaberidae.
UACUAUGUUACGACUUAUCUCAUCUUAAUUAACGAGAGCGACGGGCGAUGUGUGCACAUCUUAGAGCUCUAAUCACAACAAUAAUAUAUACAAAAUUACUAUCAAAUCCACCUUCAUACUAAAAUUACAACUAAUAAUUCAUUAUUCAUUAUUGAAAUGUAAUCCAUCUCCACUUAAUUAUAAGCUGCACCUUGACCUGAAAUACUACUAAAUCAAAUAUCAAGAAAAUACCCUAAAAAGAUUUUCAAUAAACGGCGGUAUACAUACUAAAUAAAAUCAAGUAAGGUUCAACGCGGACUAUCGAUUAUAGGACAGAUUCCUCUGAACAGACUAAGAUACCGCAAAUUCUUUAAGUUUUAAGACCAUAACUAAUACUACUCAAGUUUAAAUAAAUUAUAUCUACAAUAUAAGGGUAUCUAAUCCUAGUUU